RNAcentral lists this ribosomal RNA (497 nucleotides) under uncultured bacterium. RNAcentral's name for it is "partial 16S ribosomal RNA". It matches the Rfam family "Bacterial small subunit ribosomal RNA", at positions 28 to 507 of the family's 1533-position model. The record is from RNAcentral.
GAUGAACGCUGGCGGCGUGCCUAAUACAUGCAAGUCGAGCGAACAGACGAGGAGCUUGCUCCUCUGACGUUAGCGGCGGACGGGUGAGUAACACGUGGAUAACCUACCUAUAAGACUGGGAUAACUUCGGGAAACCGGAGCUAGUACCGGAUAAUAUAUUGAACCGCAUGGUUCAAUAGUGAAAGACGGCUUUGCUGUCACUUAUAGAUGGAUCCGCGCCGCAUUAGCUAGUUGGUAAGGUAACGGCUUACCAAGGCGACGAUGCGUAGCCGACCUGAGAGGGUGAUCGGCCACACUGGAACUGAGACACGGUCCAGACUCCUACGGGAGGCAGCAGUAGGGAAUCUUCCGCAAUGGGCGAAAGCCUGACGGAGCAACGCCGCGUGAGUGAUGAAGGUCUUCGGAUCGUAAAACUCUGUUAUUAGGGAAGAACAAAUGUGUAAGUAACUAUGCACGUCUUGACGGUACCUAAUCAGAAAGCCACGGCUAACUACGUG